RNAcentral lists this small nucleolar RNA (69 nucleotides) under Balearica regulorum gibbericeps (East African grey crowned-crane). RNAcentral's name for it is "Balearica pavonina gibbericeps Small nucleolar RNA SNORD58". It matches the Rfam family "Small nucleolar RNA SNORD58". From Rfam's summary of the family: snoRNA U58 is found in introns 1, 3 and 6 of the ribosomal protein RPL17 gene in humans. U58 is a member of the C/D class of snoRNA which contain C (UGAUGA) and D (CUGA) box motifs. The record is from Rfam by way of RNAcentral. Lineage: Eukaryota; Metazoa; Chordata; Aves; Gruiformes; Gruidae.
UUGCUGUGAUGACUUAUCUUAGGACACCUUUGGAACAUCCAUGAAAAAACCCAGUUAUUUCUGAGCAAC